UACGUAGGGGGCAAGCGUUAUCCGGAUUUACUGGGUGUAAAGGGUGCGUAGGUGGCAGGGCAAGUCAGAUGUGAAAGCCCGGGGCCCAACCCCGGUACUGCAUUUGAAACUGUCCGGCUGGAGUGCAGGAGAGGUAAGCGGAAUUCCUAGUGUAGCGGUGAAAUGCGUAGAUAUUAGGAGGAACACCAGUGGCGAAGGCGGCUUACUGGACUGUAACUGACACUGAGGCACGAAAGCGUGGGGAGCAA
Molecule: ribosomal RNA, 248 nt
Filed under: uncultured Eubacterium sp.
Lineage: Bacteria; Bacillati; Bacillota; Clostridia; Eubacteriales; Eubacteriaceae
Description: partial 16S ribosomal RNA
Rfam family: Bacterial small subunit ribosomal RNA
Source: RNAcentral